Molecule: ribosomal RNA, 374 nt
Filed under: uncultured bacterium
Lineage: Bacteria
Description: bacterial SSU rRNA
Rfam family: Bacterial small subunit ribosomal RNA
Source: RNAcentral
CCUGAACGCUGGCGGCGUGGCUAAGACAUGCAAGUCGCACGGGCGUAGCAAUACGCCAGUGGCGCACGGGUGAGUAAUGUAUCGCUAACGUACCCUUAGGUUUGGGAUAGCCAAUCGAAAGGUUGGGUAAUACCAGAUGACAUACCCUGGAGGCAUCUUCGGGGUCUCAAAGCCGCAAGGCACCUUUGGAGCGGGCGAUAUCGUAUCAGGUAGUUGGUGCGGGUAACGGCCCACCAAGCCGACGACGCGUAGCUGGUCUGAGAGGACGGCCAGCCACAUCGGGACUGAGACACUGCCCGGACUCCUACGGGGGGCGUGCAGUAACGAAUCUUCCGCCAAUAGCACGAAAGUAGUGACGGAGCGACGCCGCGUGU